AUUGAACGCUGGCGGCAGGCCUAACACAUGCAAGUCGAGCGGAUGAAGGGAGCUUGCUCCUGGAUUCAGCGGCGGACGGGUGAGUAAUGCCUAGGAAUCUGCCUGGUAGUGGGGGAUAACGUCCGGAAACGGGCGCUAAUACCGCAUACGUCCUGAGGGAGAAAGUGGGGGAUCUUCGGACCUCACGCUAUCAGAUGAGCCUAGGUCGGAUUAGCUAGUUGGUGGGGUAAAGGCCUACCAAGGCGACGAUCCGUAGCUGGUCUGAGAGGAUGAUCAGUCACACUGGAACUGAGACACGGUCCAGACUACUACGGGAGGCAGCAGUGGGGAAUAUUGGACAAUGGGCGAAAGCCUGAUCCAGCCAUGCCGCGUGUGUGAAGAAGGUCUUCGGAUUGUAAAGCACUUUAAGUUGGGAGGAAGGGCAGUAAGUUAAUACCUUGCUGUUUUGACGUUACCAACAGAAUAAGCACCGGCUAACUUCGUG
Molecule: ribosomal RNA, 484 nt
Filed under: uncultured bacterium
Lineage: Bacteria
Description: partial 16S ribosomal RNA
Rfam family: Bacterial small subunit ribosomal RNA
Source: RNAcentral